UUUUUUUAAAACCAAAGCCUGUUGAAACGCAUGUCUUUAGCCCCACGGGGCGAGUAAAAAGUUUAAUACAACUUUCAACAACGGAUCUCUUGGCUUUCGCAUCGAUGAAGGACGCCGCGAAAGUGCGAAACGUAAUGUGAAUUGCAGAAUUCAGUGAAUCAUCGAAUCUUUGAACGCAUCUUGCGCUCCUUGGCAUUCCGAGGAGCAUGCCUGUUUGAGUGUCGUGAAAUCAUCCCUCGACCCGACUCCUCGUUAGAGUUUGGGUUGGAUUUGGACGUCUGCGGGGGCGGUCGCCUCUCGCUCGUCUUUAAAUGCAUCAGCUUGGCCCUCGGGUCGGACCGAUCGACGGUGUGAUAAUAACACAUUGAACGCCGUUUUGGCCCGACCUUCGCGUGGGGUCGCUUCUAAUCCCCGGUCCCUUGGGACCGAUUCGACCAUUUGACCUCAAAUCAGGUAGGACUACCCGCUGAACUUAAGCAUAUCAAUAAGCGGAGGAAAAGAAACUAACCAGGAUUCCCCUAGUAACGGCGAGU
This 533-nucleotide ribosomal RNA is filed under the name Ramaria aurantiisiccescens. Its description in RNAcentral is "eukaryotic LSU rRNA". The stretch from base 70 to 224 matches the Rfam family "5.8S ribosomal RNA". The record is from RNAcentral. Lineage: Eukaryota; Fungi; Basidiomycota; Agaricomycetes; Gomphales; Gomphaceae.